RNAcentral lists this ribosomal RNA (304 nucleotides) under uncultured bacterium. Its description in RNAcentral is "partial 16S ribosomal RNA". It matches the Rfam family "Bacterial small subunit ribosomal RNA", at positions 506 to 807 of the family's 1533-position model. The record is from RNAcentral.
CAGCAGCCGCCGCGGUAACACAGAGGGUGCGAGCGUUAAUCGGAUUUACUGGGCGUAAAGCGUGCGUAGGCGGCUUUUUAAGUCGGAUGUGAAAUCCCUGAGCUUAACUUAGGAAUUGCAUUCGAUACUGGGAAGCUAGAGUAUGGGAGAGGAUGGUAGAAUUCCAGGUGUAGCGGUGAAAUGCGUAGAGAUCUGGAGGAAUACCGAUGGCGAAGGCAGCCAUCUGGCCUAAUACUGACGCUGAGGUACGAAAGCAUGGGGAGCAAACAGGAUUAGAUACCCGUGUAGUCCCUGUCUCUUAUAC